Molecule: long non-coding RNA, 700 nt
Organism: Mobula hypostoma (lesser devil ray)
Lineage: Eukaryota; Metazoa; Chordata; Chondrichthyes; Myliobatiformes; Myliobatidae
Exons: 3
Source: RefSeq, a predicted model, not a curated record
AUUUCUCCAGCGCUCCGCCUGUGUACACAAAGAGAAGCUAACGUUGGGAAAUAUAUGGAAACAAAUUUGUCAAGUGAGAAGCUGGGAGGUGACCGGUGGAAAAGGUAAAGGGUUGAAGAUGGAAUCUAAUAGAAGAGGAACAGAUCAUGGGAGAGGGGACCAGAGGAAGGCGAGAGGCAGAAAAGAGCAAAGCAGAGGCCUAAUUGAUGAACUGAUGGUCAAUUACGCUCGUUCGCUGCUGUCGUUACUGCGCGGUUGGGAAUCUUUCGGAGGGAAGGGCUCAAAAUCCCCGGCUUUUCCUGCUGUUCGCGACCAAGAUGGAGGUCGAAUCAUUUGGAUAGAGCUGGCGCUCAGUACUCGGUCGGAGAGCUGAUCAGAGCUCUAAGUUUUCGGAUGACUCAGAGUCGGACCGUGGUCAGGUAUGGCAGGGAGAGUUUUUCUUCCUUCUCCCCUCUGCGUGAGAUGUGGGACAUUUGAGAGACUUUGAACUUUUACUGUGCUCAUGGACUUCUUCAUCAAGUUAUGGUAUUGUUGCACUGUUGUAACUAUGUGUUAUAAUUAUGUGGUUUUGUUAGUUUUUUUUCAGUCUUGGUCUGUCCUGUGUUUUGUGAUAUCACACCAGAGGAAAUAUUGUAUCAUUUCUUAAUGCAUGCAUUACUAAAUGACAAUAAAAGAGGACUGCGUGUCUUCAUAAUCUAAA